GGAGGGUUAGGGGGGUUUGGAUGGAUAGGCGGGUUAGGAGGGUUAGGAGGGUUAGGCGGGUUAGGAGGGUUAGGAGGGUUAGGAGGUUAGGGGGUUAGGAGGGUUAGGAGGGUUUAGGAGGGUUAGGAGGGUUAGGAGGGUUAGGGGGUUUAGGAGGGUUAGGCGGGUUAGGAGGGUUAGGAGGUUUAGGAGGGUUAGGAGGGUUAGGAGGUUUAGGAGGGUUAGGCGGGUUAGGAGGGUUAGGAGGUUUAGGAGGGUUAGGAGGGUUAGGGGUUUAGGAGGGUUAGGAGGGUUAGGGGGGGUUAGGGGUUUAGGAGGGUUAGGCGGGUUAGGCGGGUUAGGAGGUUUAGGCAGGUUAGGCGGGUUUAGGAGGGUUAGGAGGGUUAGGGGGUUUAGGAGGGUUAGGAGGGUUAGGAUGAUU
Long non-coding RNA from Oncorhynchus tshawytscha (Chinook salmon), 421 nucleotides. Lineage: Eukaryota; Metazoa; Chordata; Actinopteri; Salmoniformes; Salmonidae. The record is from Ensembl.